GAUGAACGUUGGCGGCGUGCCUAAUACAUGCAAGUCGAACGAAGACUGUAGUAAUACUGUCUUAGUGGCGAACGGGUGAGUAACGCGUGGGUGACCUGCCCCGAAGUGUGGGAUAACAGUUCGAAAGAACUGCUAAUACCGCAUAACAUCCAAGAGAUUAGAAGCUUUUGGAUUAAAGGAGUAAUUCGCUUCGGGAGGGGCCCGCGUCCCAUCAGCUAGUUGGUAAGGUAAUGGCUUACCAAGGCGAUGACGGGUAGGGGACCUGAGAGGGUGGCCCCCCACAAUGGAACUGAAACACGGUCCAUACACCUACGGGUGGCAGCAGUAGGGAAUAUUAGUAAUGGGCGAAAGCCUGAACUAGCAACGCCGCGUGUGCGAAGAAGGCCUUCGGUUGUUAAGACACUUUUGUAGAGGAUGAGGAAGGACGGGUACUCUCAGAAUAAGUACUCGGCUAACUACGUG
RNAcentral lists this ribosomal RNA (462 nucleotides) under uncultured bacterium. RNAcentral describes it as "bacterial SSU rRNA". It matches the Rfam family "Bacterial small subunit ribosomal RNA", at positions 28 to 507 of the family's 1533-position model. The record is from RNAcentral.